Molecule: ribosomal RNA, 754 nt
Filed under: uncultured archaeon
Lineage: Archaea
Description: bacterial SSU rRNA
Rfam family: Archaeal small subunit ribosomal RNA
Source: RNAcentral
GGGGAUAAUACCCUAUAGGUUACAGAUGCUGGAAUGCUCUGUAACCCAAAGUUCCGGCGCCCUAGGAUGGAUCUGCGGCCGAUUAGGUUGUUGUUGGGGUAAUGGCCCAACAAGCCAGUAAUCGGUACGGGUUGUGGGAGCAAGAGCCCGGAGUUGGAUUCUGAGACACGAAUCCAGGCCCUACGGGGCGCAGCAGGCGCGAAAACUUUACAAUGCGGGCAACCGUGAUAAGGGAACCUCGAGUGCCUGUAAAUGCAGGCUGUUCAGGUGCCUAAAACACACCUGAAGAAAGGGCCGGGCAAGACCGGUGCCAGCCGCCGCGGUAAUACCGGCGGCUCGAGUGGUGGCCGCUUUUAUUGGGCUUAAAGCGUUCGUAGCUGGGUUGUUAAGUCUCUUGGGAAAUCUGGCGGCUUAACCGUCAGGCGUCUAAGGGAUACUGGCAAUCUUGGAACCGGGAGAGGUGAGGGGUACUUCGGGGGUAGGAGUGAAAUCCUGUAAUCCUCGAGGGACCACCUGUGGCGAAGGCGCCUCACCAGAACGGCUUCGACAGUGAGGGACGAAAGCUGGGGGAGCAAACCGGAUUAGAUACCCGGGUAGUCCCAGCCGUAAACUAUGCGCGUUAGGUGUAUCGGUGACCACGAGUUACCGAGGUGCCGAAGGGAAACCGUGAAACGUGCCGCCUGGGAAGUACGGUCGCAAGGCUGAAACUUAAAGGAAUUGGCGGGGGAGCACCACAACAGGUAGAGCCUGCGGU